This 399-nucleotide ribosomal RNA is filed under the name uncultured bacterium. RNAcentral's name for it is "partial 16S ribosomal RNA". It matches the Rfam family "Bacterial small subunit ribosomal RNA", at positions 523 to 918 of the family's 1533-position model. The record is from RNAcentral.
AUACGUAGGUGCCAAGCGUUAUCCGGAUUUACUGGGCGUAAAGGGCGUGUAGGCGGUCUUGCAAGUCAGAAGUGAAAUUCCUGAGCUCAACUCGGGCGCUGCUUCUGAAACUGCAGGACUUGAGUGCUGGAGGGGAUAGCGGAAUUCCUAGUGGAGCGGUAAAAUGCGCAGAUAUUAGGAAGAACACCGGUGGCGAAGGCGGCUAUCUGGACAGUAACUGACGCUGAGGCGCGAAAGCGUGGGGAGCAAACAGGAUUAGAUACCCUGGUAGUCCAAGCUGUAAAUUAUGCAUGCUAGAUGUUUUGGACCCUUGUGGUCUGGAGUGUCGUAAUCUAACGAGUUAAGCAUGCCGCCUGGGUAGUAUAUUCGCAAGAAUGAAACUCAAAGGAAUUGGCGGGG